ACACAUGCAAGUCGAACGAGAUUGCUUUGACGGAACCUUCGGGGGAAGAUGAAGCAUGAAAGUGGCGGAUGGGUGAGUAACGCGUAAGAAACCUGCCUUUCACACCGGGAUAGCAGCUGGAAACGGCUAUUAAUACCGGAUGAUACUUUUCUGACGCAUGUUAGGAAGGUCAAAGAAUUUCGGUGAAAGAUGGUCUUGCGUCUGACUAGCUCGUUGGUGGGGUAACGGCCUACCAAGGCGACGAUCAGUAGCCGGCCUGAGAGGGUGUACGGCCACAUUGGGACUGAGACACGGCCCAAACUCCUACGGGAGGCAGCAGUGGGGAAUUUUGCACAAUGGAGGAAACUCUGAUGCAGCGACGCCGCGUGAACGAAGAAGGUUUUCGGAUCGUAAAGUUCUGUCCUGGGUGAAGAUAAUGACGGUAACUCAGGAGGAAGCCCCGGCUAACUACGUGCCAGCAGCCGCGGUAAUACGUAGGGGGCGAGCGUUGUUCGGAAUUAUUGGGCGUAAAGGGUACGUAGGCGGCUCGUUAAGUUUGGCGUUAAAUUCCGGGGCUCAACCCCGGCAAGCGUUGAAAACUGGCGAGCUUGAGUAGUAGAGGGGACAGUGGAAUUCCUAGUGUAGCGGUGAAAUGCGUAGAGAUUAGGAAGAAUACCGGUGGCGAAGGCGACUGUCUGGAUACAUACUGACGCUGAGGUACGAAAGCGUGGGGAGCAAACAGGAUUAGAUACCCUGGUAGUCCACGCCCUAAACGAUGAGUGCUAGGUGUCGGG
Molecule: ribosomal RNA, 773 nt
Filed under: uncultured bacterium
Lineage: Bacteria
Description: bacterial SSU rRNA
Rfam family: Bacterial small subunit ribosomal RNA
Source: RNAcentral